GCCAGGUGUGGUGACACACACCUGUAAUCCCAGUGGCUUGGGAGGUGAGGCAGGAGGAUUGUGAGUUCAAAGUAAAUCUCAGCAAAAGCAAGGAACUAAGCAACUCAGUGAGACCCUGUCUCUA
This 124-nucleotide small RNA is filed under the name Marmota monax (woodchuck). Lineage: Eukaryota; Metazoa; Chordata; Mammalia; Rodentia; Sciuridae. The record is from RNAcentral.